AGAGCGCGAGACAAGACGGGACAUCCUACAAAGCCUAACAUUUCUGCCAGUAUUACAGAAUGGACAGCUUAGGAUACCACACGGAGGGGAGUGAAGGAGCCUUGGGGAUGCCUGAAGGAGGGGCAGUGAAGGAGGGAGGCCUGGAGGUGAAGGAAAAUGCAGAAAAUUCCUCUAAUACUGAGCGCUUCUCUGGUCAGACCAUCCUUCACUGAAUAUUUGGACCGAGGCUUCAAGAUACGAGUGAGCCACGCGACCCUCCAAAACAGCGCCAUCCUGCCCACUUGUGGUGUAGCAUCCCUGAUCGUACCCCUCCCUCCCUCCUCCUCCUCCUCCUCCUCUUCCAGCAAAGAAGAGACCUUUGACCAGCUGGUGGACAGGGUCCGCGCCUUUAGCCGAGUACACGCGGGGGGCGUUGUAAUACUGGUGGGUGCUGUGUUUGGCAUGGAGGAGGUGAACGGGGUGUUGGGGAAGUUAUCAAGGCGGUUACUACCACGCCCUCCCCUGCUACUGCCUGCCCACGGGGAAGCCCAGGCUGCCGCGCACAUACAACUACUGGCAAAGGCGGUGGUGGGGGGGCGGGAGGGCGUAGUCUGGAGGAGGCUGGCGGGGGUUAUGGAGGGGGUCCUGGCAUCCCCCGUCUCCCCCCAUUCCCUCGCUACCCCCAUUGGCCUCUCACCGGCACAAGUAGCGGCGGGGCUGGAAGUGGGCGGGAGUUUAGCAGGCUUCGCUAAGAUUGGGCUGGAAGUUAACGGAGGAGGAGGCGCGGCACGUGACAAUGCAAUACAGGGCUUACAGAGGGCAGGCGUGACUGGGCCCUACCUCGCCGCCCUUGUCAACACCUUAGAGAGAGAUACGCUCACCUUGUAGAGAGAGAGAGAGAGAGAGGAUAUAUUUUAAUUUUCUUUCGUUAUAUAUUCAAUUUAUUUAUUUAUUUAUUAUUUUAACGGUUAUUUUCUUUUCUCUAUUUUUCGUUUCGUUUUUUUUUAUGGAAUGUUGAAUUUUACCUAUAUUUGUUUACAUUUUUUUUUAUCAAUUUCUUUCGAUUUUAUAUUCAGUUCAUUUAUUUAUCUUUAUUGUUUUGAGACCAUUAAUUUAUUUUAUUUAUUUUUUCGUUCAUUUUCAUAAUGGGAAUAUUUACUUUUAUAUAUAUUUUUCAAUUAUUUUUCAUUUCUUCGAUUUAAGUGUGUCUAAGUACUUGCAAGGAUCAUUUAUUUAUUUAUUUACUUUUAUUUUCCGUCCGUUUUUAUUUAUUUAUUUAUUUAUUUAUUUAUCUUUUUUUAUAAUGGAAACUUAUUUCAUCUUUUUUCCCGUUUUCUGUUACUUGUUCAUG
Long non-coding RNA from Scylla paramamosain (green mud crab), 1330 nucleotides. RefSeq lists it as uncharacterized. NCBI's taxonomy places the organism in Eukaryota, Metazoa, Arthropoda, Malacostraca, Decapoda, Portunidae. The record is from RefSeq and is a predicted model, not a curated record. The transcript has 5 exons.